GGGGGUUCAAGGAGGCAGCAUGACUUGCAGUCGCCGCCGCCCUGCGUCUGCCCCCAGUCCCCAGCCCACCUCUUGAUGCGUCCCGGGUCGGCUGUACAAAUAUGAUGAAAUGGCAGCCCCGGAAGAAGGCAUACUUCCGACAGGGUGUUGCCCUCCAGUACCUCGGCCGGCACGCGGAUGCCCUGGCAGCCUUCGCGUCUGGGCUGGCUCAGGACCCCAAAAGCCUCCAGCUCCUGGUGGGGAUGGUGGAAGCUGCCAUGAAGUCUCCCAUGAGAGGUAGGCAGGACGCGAGUCUUCAGGAGUGACUGGGAAGCAGGCGCCCAGCCUUCCGUGUUCGAGAGCUGCUGGGGUCUGUGACCCGCUGACGGACUGUCUAAUGGGGGCAGAUGAGUUCAUGCCUUCCUGUUUCAGGACUAUUUAAAUCAUUUCCACUGUAAAAUUAGUUUUAAGUUUUUAAUUUACAAUGCCUCUAAUAACAAGUUGAUUUUCUUGUAUGAACAAAUA
RNAcentral lists this long non-coding RNA (504 nucleotides) under Rattus norvegicus (Norway rat). RNAcentral's name for it is "long non-coding RNA NONRATT008101". The record is from RNAcentral. Lineage: Eukaryota; Metazoa; Chordata; Mammalia; Rodentia; Muridae.